AUGUAUAUUCCUACAAUGUUAAUGCACCAGAUCCCAACUCUAUAGUUAAGCGAGAUUAGGCUAGAGUAGUACUGGGAUGGGUGACCUCCUGGGAAGUCCUAGUGUUUUACAUG
Molecule: non-coding RNA, 113 nt
Organism: Picea glauca (white spruce)
Lineage: Eukaryota; Viridiplantae; Streptophyta; Pinopsida; Pinales; Pinaceae
Source: Rfam